RNAcentral lists this ribosomal RNA (498 nucleotides) under uncultured Glomus. RNAcentral describes it as "SSU rRNA". It matches the Rfam family "Eukaryotic small subunit ribosomal RNA", at positions 569 to 1074 of the family's 1831-position model. The record is from RNAcentral. Lineage: Eukaryota; Fungi; Glomeromycota; Glomeromycetes; Glomerales; Glomeraceae.
AGCAGCCGCGGUAAUUCCAGCUCCAAUAGCGUAUAUUAAAGUUGUUGCAGUUAAAAAGCUCGUAGUUGAAUUUCGGGAUUAGUAAGUUGGUCAUGCCUUUGGUAUGUACUGGUUUCACUGAUUCCUCCCUCUUGAUGAACUGUUAUGUCAUUAAUUUGGUGUUUCAGGGAAUCAGGACUGUUACUUUGAAAAAAUUGAGUGUUUAAAGCAGGCUAACGCUUGAAUACAUUAGCAUGGAAUAAUGAAAUAGGACGUUCGAUCCUAUUUUGUUGGUUUCUAGGAUUGACGUAAUGAUUAAUAGGGAUAGUUGGGGGCAUUAAUAUUCAAUUGUCAGAGGUGAAAUUCUUGGAUUUAUUGAAGACUAACUACUGCGAAAGCAUUUGCCAAGGAUGUUUUCAUUAAUCAAGAACGAAAGUUAGGGAUGAAGACGAUCAGAUACCGUCGUAGUCCUAACCAUAAACUAUGCCGACUAGGGAUCGGAUGAUGUAUUUUCAAUGA